UACGUAGGGUGCAAGCGUUAAUCGGAAUUACUGGGCGUAAAGCGUGCGCAGGCGGUUGUGCAAGACCGAUGUGAAAUCCCCGGGCUUAACCUGGGAAUGGCAUUGGUGACUGCACGGCUAGAGUGUGUCAGAGGGGGGUAGAAUUCCACGUGUAGCAGUGAAAUGCGUAGAGAUGUGGAGGAAUACCGAUGGCGAAGGCAGCCCCCUGGGCCAAUACUGACGCUCAUGCACGAAAGCGUGGGGAGCAAACAGG
RNAcentral lists this ribosomal RNA (253 nucleotides) under uncultured bacterium. RNAcentral describes it as "partial 16S ribosomal RNA". It matches the Rfam family "Bacterial small subunit ribosomal RNA", at positions 524 to 776 of the family's 1533-position model. The record is from RNAcentral.